AAUUUAUUAGUUUAAAAAAAAACAUUACAUUUUCAAUGUAAAAAUAAAUUUUAUUUAUAAAUUU
Molecule: transfer RNA, 64 nt
Filed under: Euoniticellus intermedius
Lineage: Eukaryota; Metazoa; Arthropoda; Insecta; Coleoptera; Scarabaeidae
Description: tRNA-Glu
Source: RNAcentral